RNAcentral lists this transfer RNA (74 nucleotides) under Oribacterium sp. RNAcentral's name for it is "tRNA-Gln". It matches the Rfam family "tRNA". Rfam says of the family: Transfer RNA (tRNA) molecules are approximately 80 nucleotides in length. Their secondary structure includes four short double-helical elements and three loops (D, anti-codon, and T loops). Lineage: Bacteria; Bacillati; Bacillota; Clostridia; Lachnospirales; Lachnospiraceae. The record is from RNAcentral.
UUCCGUUUCGUCUAAUGGCAGGACAUCGGUCUUUGACCCCGAUAAUGGAAGUUCGAUUCUUUCAGCGGAAACCA